This 924-nucleotide ribosomal RNA is filed under the name Murrayella periclados. RNAcentral describes it as "eukaryotic LSU rRNA". It matches the Rfam family "Eukaryotic large subunit ribosomal RNA", at positions 1278 to 2169 of the family's 3401-position model. The record is from RNAcentral. Lineage: Eukaryota; Rhodophyta; Florideophyceae; Ceramiales; Rhodomelaceae.
GUGUGUAACAACUCACCUGCCGAAUGAAUUAGCCCUGAAAAUGGAUGGCGCUCAAGCGGGCAGCCGACACCACGCCGUUUGGGCAAUUUCUUGUCCCAGAUGAGUAGGAGGGACGUGGCGGUUGUACAGAAGCGUGUGCGCGAGCAUGCGUGGAACGGCCGCUAGUGCAGAUCUUGGUGGUAGUAGCAAAUAUUCAAAUGAGAUCCUUGAAGGGCGAAGCGGGGAAGGGUUCCAUGCCAACAUUGAUUGAGUAUGGGUGAGUCGUUCCUAAGCCGUCUGGUAAUUGCUAGUCACCGGCGAAAGGGAAGCAGGUUGAUAUUCCUGCACACGGAUGUAGAUGGGGUGACCCACGUUGGGGCGGUAAAAUCGUCGGGAAUCGCACUGGGCAGAGAUUUCUUUUCUGUUUGACAUCCCGCACACUCUGUGGAAUCCGCUUGUCGGGAGAAACAGGUGUUGCUGUGGCAAAGCGCCGGAAUUUUUCUGGCGUCCAGUCGCGACCGGUGAUCCUUGAAAAACCGUCUGCUGGCCUGAAGAGUUUUGUAAAAUCUACGAUUCAGGUGGAAAACUUCUACGCCGUAACGUACCCAUAACCGCAUCAGGUCCCCAAGGUGAACAGCCUCUGCUCGAUAUGAUAAAUGCAGGUAAGGGAAGUCGGCAAAUUAGACCCGUAACUUUGGGAAAAGGGUUGGCUCUAGUGCUGUGUAGGAUUGGUUGUUGAGAUUUUUUCUGUGGGUCCUUUCUUUCCAAACAGAUUUUCUUGUCGAUGGCGGCUUGCUCUUCGGGGUUUGAGCUGUGUUGAUGGGGGGAUUUUUGGGAGGCUGGGGGCCUGCGGAUCUCGGCGGCGCCUACAUCAUGCAGCAAACUAGAACUGCAACGGUCAAAGGGAAUCCGACUGUUUAAUUAAAACAAAGCAUUGCGACGGCC